GUUUUUAUAUCUUAUAAAAAGUUUUAGAUUCUUACUCUAAAUAAGCCUGGGUACGGGUUAAAAACA
This 66-nucleotide transfer RNA is filed under the name Pseudorhabdosynochus yangjiangensis. RNAcentral's name for it is "tRNA-Lys". The record is from RNAcentral. Lineage: Eukaryota; Metazoa; Platyhelminthes; Monogenea; Dactylogyridea; Diplectanidae.